AAAAAAAAACUUUAAAAUCCUAUACUAUUCUGUCAAAAAUAAAGCGAAAUCCGACGAAGAGCAAGAGAAAACAACCCUAGCCCGAAUCACCAUAUUCCUGAGACAUGAGGGCUUUCAUCGGUGUUGUUUCAAGUAUCCUUUUCGUUUUCUAUGCUAAAAUAAUGCAAGCAAAUCGAUGGAAAAAAUGGAAAGAUUUGAAAUCACCUUUAGAUAACUUUUUUGAUUUCUUUUCUACUAUUUAGAAUAUGUAUUGUAGUGUGCGUAUUUCGUCCCCCAAAAAAAGAGAGACUUUACAAUCGAAAUACACAGGGCUUUAUAGCCAAAAUCCCAAAAAGAUCAAAACAUAAAAAAUAAAAAAUACAACUUUUCUUUGUUUUUCUAUUUGCUACUGCUGUGGUUUGUCUGUUCUUCGCAGGUACGGGGUGCGUUGGCAUCGUACGGAGGCUGUGCUGGCGCGGACGUGGCUGCUGGAGGGUACGGAGGCGGUACGGAGGCUGGGGCUGCUACGGCACAAACAGAUUGCUAGGGUUCUGCCUUAUUUUUGAAUCUUGGGCCACUUGGGCUGAUAUAAUUUGGACUAGUUUUAUUAGUUUUGGGCUAUGGG
Molecule: long non-coding RNA, 604 nt
Filed under: Gossypium barbadense (sea-island cotton)
Lineage: Eukaryota; Viridiplantae; Streptophyta; Magnoliopsida; Malvales; Malvaceae
Description: long non-coding RNA (GBAR_LNC010015)
Source: RNAcentral